GAUGAACGCUAGCUACAGGCUUAACACAUGCAAGUCGAGGGGAAACGAUGAGAGAGCUUGCUCUCUUAGGCGUCGACCGGCGCACGGGUGAGUAACGCGUAUCCAACCUACCCAUUACAGGGGGAUAACCUUGCGAAAGUAAGACUAAUACCCCAUGGCAUUUUAUGGUGGCAUCAUUAUAGGAUUAAAGAUUUAUUGGUAAUGGAUGGGGAUGCGUCUGAUUAGCUUGUUGGCGGGGUAACGGCCCACCAAGGCAACGAUCAGUAGGGGUUCUGAGAGGAAGGUCCCCCACAGUGGAACUGAGACACGGUCCAAACUCCUACGGGAGGCAGCAGUGAGGAAUAUUGGUCAAUGGGCGAGAGCUUGAACCAGCCAAGUAGCGUGCAGGAUGACGGCACUAUGGGUUGUAAACUGCUUUUAUAGGGGAAUAAAGUGAGCUACGUGUAGUUUAUUGCAUGUACCCUAUGAAUAAGGACCGGCUAAUUCCGUG
RNAcentral lists this ribosomal RNA (490 nucleotides) under uncultured bacterium. RNAcentral's name for it is "partial 16S ribosomal RNA". It matches the Rfam family "Bacterial small subunit ribosomal RNA", at positions 28 to 507 of the family's 1533-position model. The record is from RNAcentral.